GCUGGCGGCACGCCUAACACAUGCAAGUCGAACGAAGUAGCAAUACUUAGUGGCAGACGGGUGAGUAACAUGUAGGUAUCUGCCCUUUGGCCUGGAAUAACACGAGGAAACUUGUGCUAAUACCGGAUAAGUCUUUACGGAGAAAGCUUUAUGCACCAUUGGAUGAGCCUGCACUUGAUUAGUUUGUUGGUGGGGUAAUGGCCUACCAAGACUGUGAUCAAUAGCUGAUUUGAGAGGAUGAUCAGCCACAUUGGGACUGAGACACGGCCCAAACUCCUACGGGAGGCAGCAGUGGGGAAUCUUGCACAAUGGAGGAAACUCUGAUGCAGCGAUGCCGCGUGAGUGAAGAAGGCCCUUGGGUUGUAAAGCUCUUUCGUCGGGGAAGAAAAUGACUGUACCCGAAUAAGAAGGUCCGGCUAACUUCGUGCCAGCAGCCGCGGUAAUACGAAGGGACCUAGCGUAGUUCGGAAUUACUGGGCUUAAAGAGUUCGUAGGUGGUUGAAAAAGUUAGUGGUGAAAUCCCAGAGCUUAACUCUGGAACUGCCAUUAAAACUUUUCAGCUAGAGU
This 567-nucleotide ribosomal RNA is filed under the name uncultured Pseudomonadota bacterium. Its description in RNAcentral is "bacterial SSU rRNA". It matches the Rfam family "Bacterial small subunit ribosomal RNA", at positions 35 to 647 of the family's 1533-position model. Lineage: Bacteria; Pseudomonadati; Pseudomonadota. The record is from RNAcentral.